CUCCCAGGCCCCCCUUCCUGCCUUGGCCUCGCUCCUGCUCCCAGAGACGCCCUUCGCUAGCUUGAGCCAAAGGCAAUAGAGCUGUUUAUCUUGGUUCCUUCUUUUCUGUGAGGGAAUUUCCCAGCAAAGCACCUCUUUAUUUCCUUGUGGAGAUAAAGGUAUUCUGUUUCUCCAGUUCUUCGGAAGAGUUGGGGGAGCGGGUUUGGGGAGGUAGAGACAAAUAUGGGUGUUGGGUGGCAGCUUGAGCCUCUCUUGAUUCCGGUUAAUUGCCCUGGACUUUUCAUACCAGGCCAAUGAUUAACCUCUGGAGUGUGGCCUUAGCCAAAUGCCAGCGUCAGCUCCAGCUCAGAUGUGCUCAGGACGAAGCUGGCUGCAGGACCACCCAGGUGGACGUGGGACUGACUCCCAGAGUGAGAGAACAGACGUCUGUUUGCUGAGCAUCCUUCGAAGACUGGGGGCGAGCUGUUCAGAUUGGACUGUCACGGCCGGAAGGAGCAGACAUGUGCCAGGGACUAGGUUACAAGAAAGGUGGUUCCUGUGAAAAGACUCUGUUUGAACUCAGAGAUCCCGUGCUUCAGAGCCUCAUUUUCCCCAAUACCCCUGCAGCUUUCUGCGCUCACCUGCCCCACGUAACUGGGGCUUCAGUGGACAUUGGUAAGAUGCCGACCCCAGGGCUCCAUACAGGACAAGCAAGGAGCAGGCCCCCUUGUCUGGCAUCCCCAAACCCUUGGGGGUCUCUCCAUCAAUGUCAGUCUCCUCUCCAGCGGCAGCCCUGGACUAAGCCCCGCGGUGACGGGGGGAUGACAGGCCCAGAGACGCAUCGAUAGCUGAGCCAUCUUUCUUCCCCGCUCAGCUGUCAUUCUCCUUCCCUAGCCCCAGGGUCAGUAUGAAGUGGGAGAGUGUGAGGGGAGGUGGAGAUGGUUUGGGGACGAUGAGGGGAAAAUUCUAGUUCUGCCAGGUUAUACGGCUCCUUUCAAAGGUUUUUCCUUAUUUCUCUCUUCUUUGGAAUUCGAUCGUCAAGCUAUUGGUAGGUUUUGUUCUCUUAUUCUCAUUUACCCACUUCCCCCAAAGCAGGGCUACCUUGUGUCUAGUUGUCUGGAGUCCGACUUAAGGGGGACCCGCUCAGCCCUAGGACACAACCUUGAUGAGUUUCGGGCCUGUGGGGAGGGAGAGAAGCACGUCCAGGAAACUGCUGCUUCUCACGCUGCCUGAGGGGCCCAGGGCUCCUCUCCUAGCCCUACAGUCUGUGAUGACGGGACAUUUCUUGGAUCAUGUCUUGGUGUGUUCCCAGGAGUCCCAAAACCAUCUUAGCUGAUGGUGCCCAUGCCCCCACACGUACCCCAAGUCCACGUUGCCUACUGACCCAGCUUAGGGAAAGAAGCAAAUGAGAAGCAGAACCAGGGAAGAGUUAUGAAGUCAGAACCCUGCGUCCUAUUUUGGGCUCAGCCACAUGCUAGCGGUGUGACUGGAGUCCCCCAGCUUCCUAUCUUUCGCUGCUGUUUCCCCACCAGGAACCUACUGGCUCCAAGACAUAGGCCGUUCCUCCCAGUCCUGAGUGAGGAGAGUGGCCGCCCGACUCAAGACUGAUGACGAUAAAAGCAGGAGUUACACCUGCAAGAUGGACAGCGCUUCAUCUGUUUAAGAGCUCCCCCUCCCUCUUAAAAUAAUAAUCAGAGAGGAAAAUAAUAAUGAGAAAGUCUCCUCGUUUGCCCUUCAUGACCCUGGGACUUGGCACGAAUCAGUUGGGGAGCCCUGGCCUGGGGUCAGCAAGCCUGUACCCGGCUCUAACUUACUGAGCGACCUUUGCCAAAUCACUUUCCCCUUCAG
This 1827-nucleotide long non-coding RNA is filed under the name Bos indicus x Bos taurus (hybrid cattle). RNAcentral describes it as "lncRNA (ENSBIXG00000000807.1)". The record is from RNAcentral. Lineage: Eukaryota; Metazoa; Chordata; Mammalia; Artiodactyla; Bovidae.